Molecule: ribosomal RNA, 507 nt
Filed under: uncultured bacterium
Lineage: Bacteria
Description: bacterial SSU rRNA
Rfam family: Bacterial small subunit ribosomal RNA
Source: RNAcentral
GACGAACGCUGGCGGCGUGGAUUAGGCAUGCAAGUCGAACGGUAUCAUCCUUUCGGGGGUGAGAGAGUGGCGAACUGGUGAGUAACACGUAGGUUAUCUACCCUCAAGACGGGGACAACCCAGGGAAACUUGGGCUAAUACCGGAUGUGAGCAACUUUUAGUUGUUUGAAAGGUGGCGUAAGCUGUCGCUUGGGGAUGAGCCUGCGUCCUAUUAGUUAGUUGGUGAGGUAACGGCUCACCUAGGCAAUGAUAGGUAGGCGGCCUUAACGGGUGGUCGCCCACACUGGGAUUGAGAUACGGCCCAGACUCCUACGGGAGGCAGCAGUCGAGAAUAGUCUACAAUGGUCGGAAGACUGAUAGUGCGACGCCGCGUGAACGAUGAAUCCCUUCGGGGUGUAAAAGUUCUUUUAUAUGUGAGCAGUGCUUUCUUAUAUUAACAGUAUGGGGAAGAGAUAUUAGCAUAUGAAUAAGCAACGGCUAACUCCGUGCCAGCAGCCGAGGUAAAAA